RNAcentral lists this ribosomal RNA (497 nucleotides) under uncultured bacterium. RNAcentral's name for it is "partial 16S ribosomal RNA". It matches the Rfam family "Bacterial small subunit ribosomal RNA", at positions 28 to 507 of the family's 1533-position model. The record is from RNAcentral.
GAUGAACGCUGGCGGCGUGCCUAAUACAUGCAAGUCGAGCGAACAGACGAGGAGCUUGCUCCUCUGACGUUAGCGGCGGACGGGUGAGUAACAAGUGGAUAACCUACCUAUAAGACUGGGAUAACUUCGGGAAACCGGAGCUAAUACCGGAUAACAUGUUGAACCGCAUGGUUCAACAGUGAAAGACGGUCUUGCUGUCACUUAUAGAUGGAUCCGCGCCGCAUUAGCUAGUUGGUAAGGUAACGGCUUACCAAGGCAACGAUGCGUAGCCGACCUGAGAGGGUGAUCGGCCACACUGGAACUGAGACACGGUCCAGACUCCUACGGGAGGCAGCAGUAGGGAAUCUUCCGCAAUGGGCGAAAGCCUGACGGAGCAACGCCGCGUGAGUGAAGAAGGUCUUCGGAUCGUAAAACUCUGUUAUUAGGGAAGAACAAAUGUGUAAGUAACUAUGCACGUCUUGACGGUACCUAAUCAGAAAGCCACGGCUAACUACGUG